This 45-nucleotide non-coding RNA is filed under the name Schistosoma margrebowiei. The record is from RNAcentral. Lineage: Eukaryota; Metazoa; Platyhelminthes; Trematoda; Strigeidida; Schistosomatidae.
AUCAGGCUGACGAGUUCAAAAUAGGAUGAAAUGCGAGUCCCGGAU